This 568-nucleotide ribosomal RNA is filed under the name Hepatozoon canis. Its description in RNAcentral is "bacterial SSU rRNA". It matches the Rfam family "Eukaryotic small subunit ribosomal RNA", at positions 232 to 796 of the family's 1831-position model. Lineage: Eukaryota; Apicomplexa; Hepatozoidae. The record is from RNAcentral.
UUACAGUAUGGAAAUUGGUGAUUUAUAAUAACUUGGCAAUCGCAAAGUGAAAACAGGCGAUAAAUCAUUCAAGUUUCUGACCUAUCAGCUUUCGACGGUAUGGUAUUGGCUUACCGUGGCAGUGACGGUUAACGGGGGAUUAGGGUUCGAUUCCGGAGAGGGAGCCUGAGAAACGGCUACCACAUCUAAGGAAGGCAGCAGGCGCGCAAAUUACCCAAUUCUAACAGUUUGAGAGAGGUAGUAACAAGAAAUAACAAUACAAGGCAAUUAAAAUGCUUUGUAAUUGGAAUGAUAGAAAUUUAACCCUUUUUAAAGUAUCAAUUGGAGGGCAAGUCUGGUGCCAGCAGCCGCGGUAAUUCCAGCUCCAAUAGCGUAUAUUAAAAUUGUUGCAGUUAAAAAGCUCGUAGUUGAAGUUCUGCUAAAAGUACCGGUCUGCUUUUAAUAAAGUGGUAUCUUGGUGUGUAUUUAGCAAUGAUGUCCUUUGAAGGGUUUUUUACUUUAUGGAAAAAAGCAUAUUCGGGACUUUUUACUUUGAAAAAAUUAAAGGGUUUCUAGCAGGCCGACCCUU